CAUAAUUUUGCAAAGACUCGUUACAUUGAGCGGCCCUUAUCAAACGUAUUUAUUAUAAUAGUAUUUAGAAAAAGUAGAGAAAAACACAUUAGAAAAAGUCCUAGUUGUAUUUAUAUUUUUACUAAGUAAGGAGACUUGACUAAUUUUGACUAUAAUCAAACUAAUUUUGACCAAAUUAAUUAUCCAAAUAAUUUUUUGUGAACACAUUUAAUUGGUUUAGUUUUAUAAAUAAGGCUGACUAGUUUUGACUACCGAUACAAUAAUCAACAAAGAGUAGUUUGCCCUAAAUCGACUCUACACAUCUCUUUUGUCCUAAAUCGGUACACCAACAAUCUCCAGUUCAAUUUGACACCAUCGCGCCGGCCCAUCGCCGCCAGUCCAUCGUCAGAAGCUCUGUGCCCGUGUUGUUCCACACAUGCUUCGUUAGAUGGUUGCACGCUUCACUCGCCUCAAGGAUCUCGAUCUCUCUCAAUCUGCAUCACGUUCGGUUUAUCCCGGAGUCACUGAUUCAGAUCUAUCUGUCAUCGCCACUGAUUUCACCGCCUGACGUCUACUCAAGCUUCAAAAUCGCAAAGGUAUCAUCGAUACUGGAAUGGUGGCAAUUGGAUCUGGUGUUUCGUCUCUACAAUCAUUAGAUGUUCCAGUCCAAGUUUAUUAAUUAAAAGGAAUUCCAAUUGGUUUGUUAUUUGAUUCAUAUUACUUUAUGCAUUUUCCAUGUUCAUAGACUGCAAAUAUGGAUGGUGAAACCAAUCUUAAAAUCAGGAAAGCUAUGGAGAAGACAUGGGACUAUGUGACACAAGAGAAAGCCUCAAAAUUCAAAAGUUAUAUAACUUAUAUUAUAUGUUUAAUAUACUUUUUAUUUAAGUUAUUGGUUUUCAUUUUUUAAAUUGAUGAUGACUUUAUAACAUUUGCGGGCCAAAUACAAUGUGAACAACCAAUUAAUUCACUUUAUACCUUCAUCGGUAAUUUAAUAGUCAAAAAGCAAACUCUACCCUUUGGUCCAAAUCAAAUUGUUUUGAGAGUAAGAUAUUAAUUUUAUAUUUCUUCAUUUCUCUUAUUGUGAUAAAUGUUGAAAAUGUGGUCAUUUUGUGACAUGAGCUUCCCAUUUUUUGUGAUUAACUCUGAAAUAAAUCAGACCUUGUAGAAGAAAUAACUAGUUUUCCAUUUCUGUACUCUGGAUUCUUAGUAUGUGUGAGAUGAUAUGAGAUAGCUGUCACCAUGAUUUCCUCAAUAUAGGUGCUAAGAUCAAUUGUAUCAGCCACACAAAUAGAAGCAAGAUCAUCGACAGCAAGAACUUCACUAAUAUGAUUUCUUUUAUCUUGAAACUAGAUCAUCUUCAUAUCUUCUUCAUGUUGGCUUUUCCAACUCACAAGAUGAUUUUCUUCUUGAGGAGGUUUGAUUUCAAUGUUGUCAAGUGCAAGCCAGGUGGCAUGAAUUAGUUAAAUUGAUUACAAAUUUUGUUGAAUUUGAUUAUAAUAGAUUAGUUGUGGACUUGUAGUUGUGUCAAAUGAUGAAUACAGAUGUCAAUCAACAAGUACAGAUGAGAAGACGAAUAAAGUAGGAAUGUUUUGGAUAGCACAAGCAAUUUAUUGACUAAAUUCUUGAGUGGUGGAAGCAUAGGUUCCAUGCAUGUAACCGAAGGUGUUGUGUCUGAUUUAUUUGGAAAACCUCUUUUUUUCUCUUUGUUUGACUGGUUCAUAGAGGUACUUUUCAUUUAUCUUUUCAUUUUUCUUCUCUUUGUAUGAUUAAUUCAUAAUCUAUUAACAUCUAUGACACCUCAAUGAUGAUUUGUUAAACAGCAUGGCUCAGUUUAUAAACUUGGUUUUGGUCCAAAAGCAUUUGUAGUUGUAUCAGAUCCAAUUGUUGCCCAAUAUAUUCUUCGUGAAAAUGCAUUUUCAUAUGAUAAGGGUGUUCUUGCUGAUAUUCUGGAACCAAUUAUGGGGAAAGGGUUAAUUCCUGUUGACUUAGAGACUUGGAAGCAAAAGAGAAGAGGUAAACAUGAUAUUUAUUAAGCCCUUAUUUGUAUUGUUUGAUGUUGAUUUGUAAGUUUUCACAGUUAUAUCUCCUGGAUUCCACACCUUAUAUUUCAAAGCCAUAGUGCAGAUGUUUGCCAGUUGUCAAGAAAGAACAAUAUCUAAACUCGAGAACCUUCUAGAAGGAAAAAAAAACGCACAAGGAGAACAUGAGAUUGAGUUAGACCUCAAAGCAGAGUUCUCAAAUUUGGCACUAGACAUAAUUGGUCUUGCUAUCAAUUAUCUUGACUUUUAUUUCAUUACAUAUUUACAUCACAUGUUUUGUGAUUACUCCAAAAUCUAAUGAAAUUGAGGGUGAAUUAGGUUCCAAGGGCGUUAGCUAGUGUUGUGGCAUUUUGCAUGGCAUUUUUAGUGGUCAAAAAGAAGGAAAGCAUCGAGCUUUUUUGUUGCCUUGAAAGUCGUGCAAAUGAUAUAAUGUUGAGAUUUCAUGACUGUUGUCAGAACUAUAGGGUACAUGAUAACAUAAGCAAACUUCCUUUGUUAUUAUUUUGUAUAAUAACAUAUGCAAAUAGUUCAAUAGAAGUGUUUCGCUAUGGGUGCAUGAAAUUACAAAAAAUCAAGAAUUUGUUGUUCAAAAGCUUAAAGAGUCUGUAUUAGAUGAAAUCAAAGGGUCAUUAACAAUGCGAUAUGAGCUUAAUUUCACAUUGAAUCAUAUUUAUUCAUUUGCAAGCAGGUAAUAACUGACUCUAAUACUCAUGGAGUUUGAAAUAUGUAUUUCUUAUUUGUUUGACAAAUGUUGUGUUCUAUUUAUAUUGUGGGAAGCAUCGUAUCUUUGUGUUCUAAUACUCAUGGAGUUUUUUUUUGACAUCUUAUUGGUU
Molecule: non-coding RNA, 2851 nt
Organism: Lactuca sativa (garden lettuce)
Lineage: Eukaryota; Viridiplantae; Streptophyta; Magnoliopsida; Asterales; Asteraceae
Source: RefSeq, a predicted model, not a curated record